CAAAAAUUAAGAAUUUAUUAUGCUGAAUGAAAAAGAAGAGAAAUGGUUAUAGUGGGAAAUAAAUGUCCUAUUGAAAGAGUUGGAAAAUCAUGCCAUCAAAUAGUAAAUAAAUAAUUAUUGAGUGCCUGCUAUAUGUCACAGUGUUGAAAUAGAACAAUAGAUAAAGACAAGAGGUGUAAUAUUCAGAAGAAGGGAAAGUAUUUUCUGAAAGUAUUGUAGGAGUCUUCUGGUGUUCAGUUCAACAUAUAGCUUGGAAACCAUCACUUCUACAGCUGCAUCAAGAAAAAAAAACAUCAGAGCAUUCUAAAAUUCAACAGCUCAUCUUAGGUUCAUCAGAAAAUUGAAGACAAAGCACUGUCAUAAAAACUGGAAAGAUAAUGUCACCUACUGAGAAUCACAGUUUACUAAGGUAGGCAUCCUACCAGUAGAAUCAACCAGCUAGUAGGAAUUCUUAAGAUGUGCUUGACAGAUCACAAAGGCUCAUUGUGGAGUAGCUUAAGAAUUAAAGGCUCAGUGGCCCAUUCUUGGGACAUGCCCCAUAUUUUGGUUAAUUUUUCCCUCCAGGAACUUUACCAGGUUCUCAAGAUAAAGGCAGGGAAAAAAUCCUCAUGAGAUUCUUGAGACAAGCAGGAGCAUGACGACAUUUUGAAUGGUGCAGUAGAUUAUGUUCUCAUUGACAAUAAUCUACUCUCCGAAGAAAACUACUUCAUCAGAUCCUGGCCAGCAUAUGUUUUAUCAGAGACUCAUUGACUUGUGAGAGGAGAAACCUUCAAAUCCACAUCCUUGUAGUCUUCAUGAUUAACUAAAAAUGAGAAAUAAGACAAAAACGAUUAAAAAUGACAAGCAUAUUCAAAAGUCAUAACUCAGGGGCAGCAAGCUCACAAAAAUGCUGAGACUUAACCAUAGAGUUAUAGAACAUGGUUUCUCUAUACAUGCCUUACCACCACACCAGGUUUGGCAGAGAAAAGCUGGCAAGAUUCAACAAGCUAUCUUAUUUGAAGAUAUGCAGAGCUGAGAGAUUUGUAAGACUUCUUGUUCUUUUUUCAUCUCCCUUACAAUUUGUUACUGACUUUAGUUAUUUCUAAAUCCAUCAUAUUUAUCAAGAUUCUCUUCAUAUUUGUCAAG
RNAcentral lists this long non-coding RNA (1125 nucleotides) under Oryctolagus cuniculus (rabbit). RNAcentral's name for it is "lncRNA (ENSOCUG00000038317.1)". The record is from RNAcentral. Lineage: Eukaryota; Metazoa; Chordata; Mammalia; Lagomorpha; Leporidae.